RNAcentral lists this non-coding RNA (25 nucleotides) under Mus musculus (house mouse). The record is from RNAcentral. Lineage: Eukaryota; Metazoa; Chordata; Mammalia; Rodentia; Muridae.
UAGAAUCUGUGUUCAUCUGAUGAAU